RNAcentral lists this transfer RNA (69 nucleotides) under Rattus norvegicus (Norway rat). It matches the Rfam family "tRNA". Rfam says of the family: Transfer RNA (tRNA) molecules are approximately 80 nucleotides in length. Their secondary structure includes four short double-helical elements and three loops (D, anti-codon, and T loops). Lineage: Eukaryota; Metazoa; Chordata; Mammalia; Rodentia; Muridae. The record is from Rfam by way of RNAcentral.
GGGGAUUUAGCCCAGUGGUAGAGCGCUUGCCUAGCAAGCACAAGGCCCUGGGUUCAGUCCCCAGCUCCG